This 73-nucleotide transfer RNA is filed under the name Ameiurus melas (black bullhead). It matches the Rfam family "tRNA". From Rfam's summary of the family: Transfer RNA (tRNA) molecules are approximately 80 nucleotides in length. Their secondary structure includes four short double-helical elements and three loops (D, anti-codon, and T loops). Further hydrogen bonds mediate the characteristic L-shaped molecular structure. tRNAs have two regions of fundamental functional importance: the anti-codon, which is responsible for specific mRNA codon recognition, and the 3' end, to which the tRNAs corresponding amino acid is attached (by aminoacyl-tRNA synthetases). tRNAs cope with the degeneracy of the genetic code in two manners: having more than one tRNA (with a specific anti-codon) for a particular amino acid; and 'wobble' base-pairing, i.e. permitting non-standard base-pairing at the 3rd anti-codon position. The record is from Rfam by way of RNAcentral. Lineage: Eukaryota; Metazoa; Chordata; Actinopteri; Siluriformes; Ictaluridae.
GCCGAAAUAGCUCAGUUGGGAGAGCGUCAGAUUGCAGAUCUGAAGGUCCCUGUGUCAAUCCCGGGUUUCGGCA